Drosophila sulfurigaster albostrigata is the source of this 912-nucleotide long non-coding RNA. RefSeq lists it as uncharacterized. The transcript is spliced from 3 exons. The record is from RefSeq and is a predicted model, not a curated record. NCBI's taxonomy places the organism in Eukaryota, Metazoa, Arthropoda, Insecta, Diptera, Drosophilidae.
UGAAUAAAUUCAACUUACGCCAUAAAAUUGCGUUAGUUCAACUUAUUAAGCAAAAGAUCGAAAAAGAAAAUUGCAAUACUGACAGCUGGACAGUGGCUGUCGUUAGUCUGUCUCACAGCUUCGGACUAUUUGUCAUUCAUUGCGUAUACGCAAUCAAAUUUGAGCGCAUAUUGAUUUUGGCCAAAGGAAACCUCAUCAUUAUUUGGCUGCCAGCUGUGACAAUGCUGGCCAUCGUUUUAGCGCCACACACACACAGACACAGACACCGAGAGAGUGAGUUGUGGUAACUGCCAACGUUUAUGGCCAAUAUGCAUGCAUAUGCAGAGCGUGGCAGCGUGUCGACACCGAUAUCACCAAUAUUGACAUCGACUCCUUUCGCUGAUAUCAUCAUCGCAGUGAAAUACACCCACCGACCCACCCACCCAUCCAGUCGUCGUCGUUGUGGUGCUACUGUUUGACUUUUAUGACAACAAACAAAUAAAGGAAACUAACUCACGCACACGCAACCACCGAGUGGAGAGAAGAGCUCAGCUCAGCGCCAACCCCGUGAAUGUUUUUGAAUGCUUUCACAUGCGAAUGGAAUGCGAGGGGGCGUGUGCGGGGGGCUUUGCGCCACACCCUGUUUGACCCACACACACAUACAUACACACACACACACACACACACGCACCCAAAAAUCCACCCCCGCAGCAGCUGGAAAUAGACCCUGGAAAAUGUUCGUUGUGUAACUUUGGCGUUUUUUUUUGUUGCUGUUGCCGAUGAUGAUCCUGCAACAGCAGUGGCAGCAAGCAGUAAGCAGCAAGUGGCAAGUGGCAAGUGGAAAAGGUGUGCCACUGUAAACGAGUCGCGGAAAAAUCUGAAAUCAGGCCAUGGUGUCAUGAGGAAAACCCAGUCGGCAACAACCAGAAAAUA